Mercurialis annua (annual mercury) is the source of this 155-nucleotide small nuclear RNA. RefSeq annotates it as U12 minor spliceosomal RNA. NCBI's taxonomy places the organism in Eukaryota, Viridiplantae, Streptophyta, Magnoliopsida, Malpighiales, Euphorbiaceae. The record is from RefSeq and is a predicted model, not a curated record. The transcript has a single exon.
CUGACUUAAACCAAUGAGUAAGGAAAACAAAGCGAGCGGUGAGAGCUGCUCGCCGCGCUACAAAAUAUUGUGUGCAAGUAAUUUUGGAGAGUUAUAGGCUGGUCGAGUGUUGACGCUGCUUACUUUUGCAGAACUCUCUCGUGCGGGCCUCCCUG